AACGAACGCUGGCGGCAUGCCUAACACAUGCAAGUCGAACGAGACCUUCGGGUCUAGUGGCGCACGGGUGCGUAACGCGUGGGAAUCUGCCCUUGGGUUCGGAAUAACAGUUAGAAAUGACUGCUAAUACCGGAUAAUGUCUUCGGACCAAAGAUUUAUCGCCCAGGGAUGAGCCCGCGUAGGAUUAGCUAGUUGGUGAGGUAAAGGCUCACCAAGGCGACGAUCCUUAGCUGGUCUGAGAGGAUGAUCAGCCACACUGGGACUGAGACACGGCCCAGACUCCUACGGGAGGCAGCAGUGGGGAAUUUUGGACAAUGGGCGCAAGCCUGAUCCAGCCAUGCCGCGUGCGGGAAGAAGGCCUUCGGUUGUAACCGACUUUGUCAGGGAAGAAACGACUCUGGGCUAAUACCCUAGGGUAAUGACGGUACCUGAAGAAUAAGACACCGGCUAACUACGUGCCAGCAGCCGCGGUAAU
This 475-nucleotide ribosomal RNA is filed under the name uncultured bacterium. RNAcentral describes it as "bacterial SSU rRNA". It matches the Rfam family "Bacterial small subunit ribosomal RNA", at positions 29 to 524 of the family's 1533-position model. The record is from RNAcentral.